CAGAAGCCUGGAGCGAGGACAAGAAACAGGGGUGAGUUGAAUCUCCGCUUUCAAAACUGCUGAAUCAGUUCUCUACUUCACACCUGCCUUACCCAUGCAGAACACAGACAAUCAGAAUAAAAACAAAAUUCAAAACGCUUAGUAUCCAUUGCCUAUGACUGCAUAACAAGUGACAGCAGACUUUUACAGUGUCAAAUUACAAGGAUUUAUUAUAUCUUAUCAUUUUCUGGGUUGGCUGGGCUCAGCUGUGUGGCCCUACUGGUCUUACUUGGAUUCUGUUAUGCAGUCAUUGGCAGCUCCCUCUGUUGAGGGUCUAAGAUGGUUUUACGUCUGGCUGUGAAGCUUGCCAGGGUCUCACUGAGUUGCUUAGCGCCUUAUUUCACAGAAGCUGGCUUUGAACUCACGAUCCUCCUGCCUCAGCCUCUGGAGCCACUGGGAUUAUAGGCAUGUGCCACCGUGCCCGACAGGGUAUCAGCUCUUUAAGCAACCCAAACACACUAGUUCAAGACCCCAGAGAGCUCCCACAAGAAUGCUUUCAAGGGCUGGGGCUGGGGCUCAGCGGUAGCACACUUGCCCUGGCAUGUGUGAGGCACUGGGUUUGAGUCUCAGCAUCACUUAUAAAUAAAUAUAAUAAAGGUCUAUCAACAACUGAAGAAAUAUAUUUUUAAAAAAGAAUGCUUUCAAGAAGCAUGGAGUAAAUUCCAAACAACAGGGAAAAAAAGGAUAAGAAACUAAAUGAUAGUAGUCAUGUAGUGAAGAAAGUAUGUAUUCCUUCUCUCAACAGCCAAAAAAAAAGGCCAAUUAGAAACACCAGGAAAUAAAUAAUAAAUAUACAAGAAAUAUCAAACAAAGAAAAAUGUAUAAUUUUGAAAAUUUGAUAGUUUAAGUAUAUUACACUGAUAGCAUUAAUGGUAGCCCUGUCUCCACACCCUUUGGUAGACUCAAUUGUAUUUGCCGUGAGACUUGAUUCAGCCAAUAGUACAGUGGCAAAUUACGCAAGAGGAAAACAUGAAAAGAGGCUUGCAAAAUCUCUACUUUCUCUCAAAGCUUUGCUGCCCCCAUGAGAACAAAUGUUGGUUAACAUGCUAGAAGGAGUUGAAUGGGCUGGCAUAUACCUGUAAUCCCAGUGGCUCAGGAGGCUGAGGCAGGAGGAUCACGGGUUCAAAGCCAGCCUCAGCAAUGGCGAGGCACUAAGCAACUCAGUGAGAACUAUCUCUAAAUAAAAUACAAAAUAGGACUGGGGAUGUGACUCAGUGGUUGAGUACCCCUGAGUUCAAUCCCUGGUACUGCAAAAAAAGCUAGAAUGAUAUGAAAAAUAACAGAGGAAGACUAAGCCAAUUACCACAAGACAAUCUGAGAUUGGCCAGUGUUCAGCACAGUCCAGCAGACAUGGGAGUGGACCUAGAGCUCAGUCACAUUCAGAGUCACAGAACUACUCAGCUGACCCUAGACUGGUGAGAGAUAACAGAUUGUUUUUGUUUUAAACCACCAAAUUGGGGGUGAUUUGUUACACUGCAAUAGCUGACUGAUGCAGAAACAAAGGGCAUAUUUUAUUUGAAUACUAAAAAUAUGCUUCUUUAAGUGAUAAAGAGACAUUUGACCUGUUGUCAAGGAAAUGUAGUUUUGGCAUUUCAUUUGAGUCUAGUCAGGGGCAAUAUUUAUAUCAUCGUCAUAAUGUGGACUCUGUUUUUUGAAUUUUAAUAUUGAAGAAUAAAUUAAAAACAAAACCUAGGCCAAGCAUGAUGGUGCACACUUAUAACCCCAGCUACUCAGGAGGCUGAGGCAGGAGGAUCGCAAGUUCGAGAGCAGCCUAGAAACUUAGCAAGACCCUGCUGGGGAUGUAGUUCGGGGGUAGAGAGCUCCUGACUUCAAUCACUAAUACAGAAAAAAUAAAUAAAUAAAUACCCAGAAGGCUUCAUUAUGGUUACAAAACAUUCAUUCUGUUUUGUAACCAUAAUGAAGCCUUCUGGGUAUUUAUUUAUUUUUAUCAACUUAAGAAAUGUACUUUAUCAACCUAAAAAAUGUAUUAUCAACCUAAGAAAUGGAAAAGUCAAAGGACAGCUGAGAAAACUUGAAAGGAGAGCAGGGGGCUUGAGAAAAGGGGGAAGAAGGCUUAGCAGCACUGUGUGUUCGUCUUUGGUAGGAUCAGGAGUACUGUCAGAAGUUGAGGGAACAAGCACAGAGGUAAGUAAAUGAUUGAAGGCUGAAAGAUAACCAACCAGUGCAGGGAGGAGAUAGAAAAGCCAAACCAAAUGAACACUCCCUGUGUGUUUUUUUUUUUUAAUUGAGAUAUGGAAUAUAUGCAAUGAUAUGCAUGCAUUGCAUAAUCUUAAGUAAACAGCUUGAUGAAUUUUUACACGUGUGUAUAUCAGGGCAACCAUCACCCAGAUUGAGAUGUAGAACAUUGCCAGCACUCCAAAAAAUUACCUCGUGCUUCUUUCUCAUCAAUCCACUUCCUCUUAGAAGUAGCUUCUGUUCUGACUUCUGCAUCAUCCAUCUGUUUUGUCUGUUCUUGAUCUUCAGGUAAGUGAAAUUUAAAAGUAUGUACUACAGAUGGACAUUAUUCCCCUUUGUACCUGUAUGAUUGCACGAAUGGUGUGAUUCUGCCUCAUGUACAACCAGAGAAAUGAAAAACUGUGCUCCAUUUGUAUACAAUGAGUUGAAAUGCAUUCCAUUGGAACAAAUUUUUUUAAAAGUUUAUACUAGUAUGUUUUUCUCCUUUCACCAAACAUAAUGAAAUUCACUUACAUUGCUGCACAUCUUUGUAGUUAAUAUUUUGUUGUUUAUUUUCAUUGAACAGAAUUGAACCCAGGGGUCCUGUAUCACCCAGCUACAUCCUCAACAAUUUUUUUAACAGAUUCUCUCUAAAUUACCCAGGCUGGCCUUGAACUUGCAAUCCUCCUUCCCCAGACUCUCAGAUUGCUGGAAUUACAAGUAUGCACCACUGCGUCAAGCUGUUCAUUCUUUUUUUUUUUAAUCAAUGUAAUAUCCCAAAUUCUUUUUUUCCCAUAUUUUUAUUGGUGCAUUAUAAUUAGUUAAUUUUUUAUUGCAAUGUGAUUUUCCAUUGUAUGACUACAUCAGAGUUUAUCCAUUUUUCUGUUGAUGAACAUUUGGGUUGUUUGGGGCGAUUAUGAAUGAAACUGCUAUGGGCUUUCUUGUAUUUGUCUAUCUUAUCUAUUGGUGUAAAGCUCGCUUUUUUUUUUUCCUGGUGGUAUUGGGGAUUAAACCCAGGAGCACUCUACCACUGAGCUGUAUCCCCUCUACCACAGCCCUUUUUAUUUUAUUUUGUGACAGGGUCUCACUAAGUUGCUCAGACUAGAGUGAACUUGAAUUCUCUGACUUAGCCUCCCAAAUCGCUGAGAUUACAAGUGUGCACCACCAUGACCAGUAUGAAGUUCAUUCCUAACUCAGGUCAUUUUUACUUGCAGUUUCCUCUGCUUGGACCAUGUUAUCUCCAGAUCCUUAUAUGGCAGGCUUCUUUUCACCAUUGAGGUCACAGCUGUCAGAUGGUGGCUGGGAGGAACAGCAUGGGGCUGGAUCAUUGGGGACUGGCUGGGAACCUCUCUCUUCUUGUAGUUUCAGGGCCUCUCCUAUGGUUUGUUUAGGUGUUAAUUUGGCUGGAUCACUUGGGGAUUAGCUGGGAACCUCUUCUUGUAGUUUCAGGGCCUCUCCUAUGGUUUGUUUGGGUGUUAGUUUGAGCUUCCCCACAGCAUUGCAGCCUCAGGGCAGCUGGACCAUUUACGUGCCCACUAAAAGUUUCAAGAGCAAAUAUUCCAGCAACUAAGGAAAGCUCCGUUGCCUUUUAUGGCCUGGCCCUGGAGUUCAUACAGCAUUGCUUCUGCCAUGUUCUACUAGUUACAGGUAAGUCAUCAAACCACCCAAAUACAAGGGUAAGGAAAAUAAGCUCUGUGUCUUUUUCUCCUUUUGGUGCUGGGGAUCGAACCCAGGGCCUUAUACAUGUGAGGCAAGCACUCUACCAACUGAGCUACAUCCCCACCACUAAGCUCCUUCUCUUGAUGGACAAGUGGCAAUAUUAUAGAUGAGCACAUGAGAUGGGAGAUGCUGUUACAGCCAAUUUUAGGGUGAUCCACUCCAUCCUUCUGUUCUAAACCCUAUUUUGUUUUCUUCAUAGUACCUUUUACUAUUGGACAUUAUCUUAUUUAUUUCUUUGUUUUCCACCAGUCAUCUUCCUUUACUAGAACAUAUGUUCUAAAAUGGCAGGAACUCUUAUUAUUCUCUACCUUUUCACUAGUACCUGAAUAGUACCUGUACAUUGUAGGUGUUAAACACAUUUUUUAAUAAAUAAUAAGAAUUUUGUAGCAGAGGAUCAAUAGCUGCCUCAGGAUUAUAAAACAAGUAAUGGAGGGGUGGAGUUGUAGAGCACUUGCCUGGCAUGUGUGAGGCCCUGGUUUUGAUCAUCAGCACUGCAUACAAAUAAAUAAAAUAAAACAUCCAUUAACAACUAUAAGAUAUUUUUUAAAAACUAGUAAUGGAAGUAUAAGCACAUUUUUAGAGAUGUAUACUUAACUAAAAAAAGAACUAAAACCAGAAAUAGUUGAAAGUGGUUACCUGUAGGGUACAAGAUGAGGAGAGGAAAGGUGGACAGAGAAUUAGAGAUUUUCUGUGCCACUUGUACACAUGAGACUUUUUUUUAAGUUUCUUUUUUUAAACUCUUUUUUUUAAUAUUUAUUUUUUAGGUGUAGAUGGACACAACACAAUGCCUUUAUUUUUAUGUGGUGCUGAGGAUCGAACCAGGGCCCCACCCGUGCUAGGCAAGCUGCUCUACCGCUGAGCCACAAUCCCAGCCCGAGACUUUUAAAAUUCUAUGCAGUUUUAUUUUAAUAUUAAAAUUUUGAAAAAUUAAAAAGUUAAUUGUAGAGCUGGAUGUGGUAGCCAAACCUGUAAUCCCAGUAGCUCAGGAAGCUGAGGCAGGAGGAUCAUGAGUUCAAAGCCAGCCUCAGCAAAAUAGAGGCACUAAGCAACUCAGUCCCUGUCUCUAAAUAAAAUACAAAAUAGGGCUGGAGAUGUGGCUCAGUGGUUGGGCAUCCCUGAGUUCAAUCCCCAGUACAAGAAAAAAAAAAAAACUCGUUAUAGAAAAUAUAGGAAAACUGGAAGAGAAUACAAAACUAACAAAACAUUAUUUGUAACACCACCACCUAGAGAUUGCCAUUGGAAACAUCUUGGUCUUUUACCUUCUUGUUCAAAUUAUUUAAAACAGACUACUUUCUAUCUUUCCUUUUCCACUUCUUUGUAUUAAUUAUAUUGUAAAGAUUUGCUCUGGGCUAGAAAUGCUACCUGGAAAAAAGUGUUUGCCUAAGGUUUAAAAUUCUGUCAUUUCCUGUCUACCCUACUUAGAGGUCUGUAUACUUCUUUUUCUUUUCCUCUCUCUACCCUUAUAGUCCACCCCAAACAAUCCUCUUUAACCCACUCUGACCCCCACUUUCUUUCUCCCCUGUUCAGGGACUUUAUGAACUCAUCAUUUAUUCUUUUUCCUCAGUCACAGAACAAUAGCGUGUGGGAUUUGUUGUUGUUGUUGUUGCUUAUAGCUAUUACUGCUUCACCAAAACUUGAUGGUUUAAAACUAAAACCAUCCAUUUAUUAUUUUCAACAAUUCCAUGGGCAGAAAUGUGAACAGGGUACAGGUCCCGAAUCUCCCUUCUAAGUGAUGGAGUAUAAUGUCCAACAUAUUUGAUGCUUUAGAAUGACUGCAAAGGGUGAGACUGAUUACAAUAGGGGUCAUGUGUCUUGGACUUCAGCCUAAGUUGUCAAUCAGAAGCCAGGUCUCUGUGUGGUAUCUCCCUGUGAGAUCCUUCUGGUGGAAUAGUCCGCCUUCUUGCAAAGCAGCUCUGGAAGGGCUAGGGCUGUAGCUCACUGACAGAGCACUUGCCUAGUAUGUGCAAGGCCCUGAGUUCAAUCUUCAGCACCACAAAAAACAAAACCCACACGCAAAGCAGCUCUGGGCUCCCAGUUAGACUUGGAACUCAAGGGCAUUUCUUGAAAGUCGCAGGGAUAGACUAGAUUCAGGAGUAGGAACAUAGGGCAUCAGCACCAAUAGGGGCAGGUCACUGGGAGCCACCAUUGUAACAAACCUCCCUUGCGUCAGGCAGAAGUGAAUUCAAAUCCUCUCUUCUUGGUUUACUGACUAUCUGGCCUUGGCCUAAUUUCUUAACUUCUCUGAACCAUUAUUUCCUUGCUUAUCUGUAAAAUUAGCAGGAUGUAAUUCCUCCCAGGUAGGAUCAUUCUGUGUUUUGAAUUGUAAAUUGUACUGGCACCACUACUGCAUGGAAUUUCAUAGAAAGGACUCAAACACUAGAAAGACAUGUAAACUGUAAACCUAAGAGAAGUAAGCUCCUGGAAACCUGAAGAAAUCUUCACAAGGUCUUUAUUUAUUUCAUUAUUGUAUUUUUUUUUUUACAGUACUUGGGAUCAAACCCAGGGCCUCAUACAUGCUAAACAAGCAUUCUACUAUUUAGCUACAUCCUCAGUCCUUUUUUGAGGGGGGAUGGGGGGAAUGUGAAUUUAAACUUCCAAGGAACCAAAAGUUGGAUCCAAAGGUAUUUAUUUAUUUUUAAUUAAUUUAUUUAUUUAUUUUAUAGUAAAAUGCAUUUUGACAUAUUGUAUGCAAAUGGAGCACAACUUCUUAAUCCUCUGGCUGUACAAGAUUCAGAGUCACUCCAUUAGUGUAAUCAUAUAUGUAUAUAGUGUAAUAAUAUCUGUCUCUUUCUACCAUCCUUCCCAUCCCAUAACCCAACCCUUCCCCUCACUACCUCUACACAAACCAAAGUUCCUUCAUUCUUCCCUAUCCCCCAGCCCCACUAUGGAACAGCGUCCGCUGAUCAGAGAAAACAUUGGGCUUUUACUUGGGGGGGGGGGUGUUGGCUUAUUUCACUUACCAUGAUUUUCUCUAGUUCUAUCCAUUUAUCUGCAAAUGCCAUAAUUUAAUUCUUCUUUAAGGCUGAGUAAUAUUCCAUUGUUAUAUGUGCCACAUUUUCUUUAUCCAUGUUGAAGGGCAUCUAGGUUGGUUCCACAGUUUAGCUAUUGUGAAUUGAGGUGCUAUAAACACUGAUGUGGCUGCAUCCCUGUAGCUGAUUUUAAGUCCCAAAGGUAUUUAAAUCUGAAGGAAAAUACAAAAAAAAAUGCAAUCCCAAUGGAAAAAAAAAAUUGAUAUUGUUGAUUCUGUUGUAUGGUUGUGGGCAUGCAGAAUUUCUUCUCCCACCCCCCUCCAUCUUGGCUUUUUUUUUUUUUCGCUUUACCAACCUCUGGGCUUGAUUUUAAGUUUACUCUUUCUCUUCUUACCUCUCAUGGCAUAGUAACUUUUUAUUCUCUCCAAAAACUUGGAGCUUCAAGAAACUCUCCCCAUGUUCACUGACUUCCCCUUGUGAAAAUUCUUUGUACAAAAUGGACAGGGGGGUGGGGGCUAGGGAGGUAGCUCAGUGGUAAGGCACUUGCCCAGCAUGUGGGAGGCACUGGGUUCGAUUCUCAGCACCACAUAAAAAUAAAUAAAGGUAUUGUGUCCACCUACAACUAAGAAAUUAAAACAAAAACAGAAUGAACUUGGACCUGUCACAGCCCACUUGAGUGGGGUCAAGGGACCGUGGGAAAGAAGAGUAAAUACUCAGGUCUCCAAUGCCUGCUCCAGGAACUCUCUCACAGAACCAACCCCCCAAAACAGCCUGCCCUAUCUUAAGACUCUUUUAAGACUGGGAUCCUAAUUAGGAUAAGUUAUACUCCAUGUAUGUCUCAUAAGUGAAAAUAUACUCUACUGUCUUGUAUACCUAAAAAGAACAAAUUUUUUAAAAAGACUGUUUUUACUUAGGAACUGAUGACAGAACUGCCAACUCUGACCUCAAGACUCACUUUGAAUUGUUAUGACACCAGUCAGGGCUUGCCAGAUCCCUCAAGCAACAAAAGUGCUAGUUGAGCUUUCAUUCCCAACAACUUGUGCAGACUUCUCUGUCACGAUAAAGCCCUCAACCUCUCCUUUGCUCUCCCUGUAUCCCAGAGGUCACCCUGGCCUGUCCUUGUGUGGCCUGGAUUGCAAUCCUAGUCUUUGUUCCCAAAGAAAAGUUCCUUUGUUGGAGACGCCUGUGUACAUUUCUUGUUUGACUUUGACACUCUCUAGAAACCUCCCAAAGCCUAGUUCCCAUAACUGGUUACCUCUUAAGGCAGAAGAAACAGAGCUCACACCCCAUAAGAGGUCCUCAGAACUGUGCCCUUCUUCCUGGCCUCCUGCCCGGUCCCUUCCACUAUUAGGCCCCUCCUCACAGACUGUUUGAGGCUCCCGGGAACUAAAGAGAUUUGUGAGUAAGUGACCUUUAACCCAAUGAGAAUCCUCCACCCACAAUCUGGGCUAAUCUUCUUAGGUGUUAAUAUUUAGCAUUACCUUGUACUACUCAGCUCCCUGAACCCUACUCAGCAAAACCUUUUAAAACGCUUCCUUACUUCUUCUCCCUACUUUUUGUCUCGGUUGCUGUUGUUUUGAGCUGGGGUUUUACUGUGUUGCCCAGACUGGCCUUGAACUCCUGGGUUUAAGUGAUCCUUCUGCCUCAGCCUCCCACACAUAGCCAGGACUACAGUACCUGCCAUUGAGCCUGGCUCCCCUACUCUUUUAAUGGGAAUUUCUGGUGUAGCAAAGGUCUGGUAAAGAAGACUAUUCCUCUGAAAACCAAGCAUUUGAUGACAGACACAAGAAUGAUUUCUCAGAGUUGCUAUCAAUCACAGGCACAUUAUUAAAGCACAUUAUUAAAAAUCUGUAAUAAAUGUACCAGUGAAGAAGGUGAUCAGUGCUUUUAAAGCUUGGAAGAGCAGAUUCUGGUUCUGCAGGUCCAGGGUGGUAUCUCAGCUUCUGCAUGUCUACGGAAGCUCCCAGGAGACAUUGCUACCACUGCUCCUGCUGCUGCUGCUGCUGCUAUUGCUGGUGUAGGAGCCAUGGUCAGAGUGUUAUUUAUGGUUCUCCAGAGAAACAGAACCAACAGGACAUGGACACACACACACACACACACACACAUACACACACACACACACCUCUGGCCAAAUUAUUAUAUGGUUGUGUAUAGAUAUUUAUUAUGGAAAUUGGCUCACAAAUUAUGAAAACCAAAAAGCCCCACAAUCUUCUGCUGUCAGAAAACACUGAUGAUGUAAUUCAGUCUGGGUCUGAAGCCCCCAAAACCAGGCACUCUGAUGUCUGAGGACAGGAGAUGGAUGACUCAGAUCAAGGAGAGAGAGAUCUUGUCUUUCUUCUACCCUUUGGUUCUAUUCAGAUCCUCAGUGGAUUGGAUAAUGUCUGCCUACGUUUGUGGGGUGGAUCUUCUUUAUUUAAUUUACUGACCCAAAUGUUAAUAUCUUCUGGAAAGACCCUCCCAAACACAUUCAGAAAUGGUGUUUCAUCAGCCAUCGGGACAUCCCUUAGCCCAGUCAAGUGGACACACAAAAAUUAACUGUCACACUUAGCAAGGAAAUGCUACUAAGUAGUAUGGGAAGGAAACGACAGGCGAAGGAUGUCUUCCUGCAGCUCACAGCCAGCAAACAUCUCUGUUUUUCCAGGCAUCCCUGAACAGUCAAGGGCCUGGGUAUGGGGUCAGAGAGAGCUGUGUCCAACUCUGCUUUCCAUUUACUGUGUGGUCUCUGCCAAGUCAUUUAACUUGUCUGUGACCCAGUUUCCACAUGUAAAAACGGGGGUGGAGAUCAUAUCUGCUUCACUGAACUGUCAAGGAGAUUUUAUGCCACCGUGAGUCUGAUGGCUUAGCAGAGUAUCUGGUACAGAGUUGGCCUCUAAAAGCAGCGCAGAGUCUUGCUAUUGCAGGGACGGAAUCCAGAGACUAAGCAGACUACGCAAGAUUCAGCUAAGCAAGGGCCUGCUGGCUUCAGCUUUUCCAUACUCCCAGUGAGGAUGUGGCUAUGUUUUCACAAUUCCAGAUUUAAUAACAGCCAUGUCAGUGGAUGUGCUCCUGUGUUCUCUGAUUAAAUGGACAUACUUGAGUCGCCCCAGGCAAAAUGAGGUCAUGCAUCAGAAGCCUAAAAAGAAAGCUUCUUUCUAAUUCCCUGUCACACCCUCUGAUGUUGAGGUGUCUUUCACCAGUUUUGUUUUCUGUUUUUAAGUCCAUGUGACACCGUUGCCUCAGAUUCUUCUCAAAUAGCAGAAAAAAGAAAACAUUUCAGAGUUCUUAUGAAUUUUCUUCUCACACACACACACACACACACACACACACACACGGCUAUUCUUUGGGUCCCUAUACUCCCUUCCUAAGCUUCUGGCUUUUCCAGACCUCCUAAUUAAACUGCAAUAGCUGCAUAUCCUUUUAAAGGAUUUAUUCUGGGCCAGGUAUGGUGGUAUUUGCCUGUAAUUUCAGAAACUCUAGAGGCUGAGGCAGGAGGAUCACAGGUUCCAAAUCAGCCUGGACAACUUAGCAAGAUCCUGUCUCAAAAUAAAAUAAAAAGGGCUGAGAAUAUAAUUCAGUGGUACAGCGCCCCUGGGUUCAAUCCCCUAAACCACUAAUUAAUUAAUUAAUUAAGGAUUUACUCUGUUUUGCUGGAACUCUUAAACCACUUGAAAAAAAAACUACAGCUGGGCGCGGUGGCACACGCCUGUGAUCCCAGUGGCUCCAGAGGCUGAGAAGGAGGAUCCCUAGUUCAAAGCCAGCCUCAGCAAAAGCGAGGCGCUAAGCAACUCAGUGAGACCCUGUCUCUAAAUAAAAUACAAAAUAGGGCUGGGGAGGCUCAGCAGUAGAGUGCUCGCCUGGCACGUGCGGGACCCUGGGUUCGAUCCUCAGCACCCAAUAAAAAUAAAUAAGUUAAAUAAAGGUAUUUAGUGCAACUACAACUAAAAAAUAAAUAUCUUAAAAAAAUAGGGCUGGGGAUGUGGUUCAGUGACCGAUGGUACUCCCCGCUCCCAAAAAAAAAAAAAAAAUACAGAUAGCUCUGCCGACAACCAGAAAACGGAACUUUCCAAACUUUUUCUCUGGGUUUCUGCCUGUUUUGAUUCUUACAAGUUACACCCACAUGUUGUUUAAAUUUUACUGAUGAUUCAGCAGAAGCUGCCACCAGCAAAACCAGUUGUUUUAAUGGCUGAGAACACCCUUGCUGCUGGCCUGAUUUUCUGUGAUGAUGGCAACAACCUGAUUCCUGGAGGUAAAACUCGACUCUCUCUCUCAAGAUGCUUGGUAAGAAUUGUAGCGACAGCACAUAUAACUAAUUCAUUAACUUAGAUCUCAAAUUUACUUCUUACUUAUAAGACUGGUUCAUUUUAGUUGUAUAAAAAAGAACUAUGUCUUGAGCAAAGUCCUCCUCUUUUCGUUUUGCAAAAUGAAGGAAAACUCACAAGUUGCAAUUGCUCCAAUUCUUAACCUAAAAGACCCCAAUUGGGCAGUGGGAAGUACAAAGUAUAGCACUGCUAAGAAAUUAAAGCAAAGGGCUGGUGCUGGAGCCCAGAGCGUUGCCUAGCAUGUGUGAGGCACUGGGUUCAAUCCUUUGCACCACAUAAAAAAUGAAACAAAUAAAAUAAAGGCAUGCUGUCCACCUACAACUAAAAAAAAAAAAAAGGAAAUAAAUGAAGUAAUGAUUAUAGUGAUGGGGGAAAUCAAAGCUGAUGCCCAAAUAGUUCAUUUCAUUAGCUCAGAAUGUGUAUUUACCAACCUGGUAUGAAUUUCAGAGGCAUUCCUAAAUUUCAUUUUGUUUGUUUUUGUUUUUUAGGGUUUCACUUACUCCUUUGUUUUAUUUUUACCUUAAAGCUACUUAACACUAAUUAGUAUAUUGAAUGUUUUAUAUUUCUAAAACAAACGUAUGCCAUGAGAUAAAUGAGCUGAGGAGAAACUUUGAUAAAGAAAAAAAUAUAAACAGAAGCAGGAAAAGUGAAAGUUUGGUCUUUCUGCAGAGUCCACAUACUCAGGCAAUGUUGAAAUUCAGCACAAUGGGGACAGAAAAGGAAGACAUAAUUUCACUGGAUUCUUGGAGGCGCUCAUUCUCAAUUGAAAGCUCCCAAGCAGUCCUCCAAAUUCCAAUUUUUUAUGAUCCCUUAGAUCAAUUUGUUAAAGGACGUAAAUGUUAAUCGUUAAUGUCUGAUUAUCUAUCUUGUUUUCUUUAAGCAUUACCUGUUUCCAUGGGCAUAAGAAGAGUCUCUGGCUGGGAUAUCAUGGAAGAAGUUUCUGAACUGGUAGACUUCUGACAAGAUUAACGACCCCCAGGUUUUCUCCUAAUUUCAAGAUUCAACAAAAGUUCUGGAAUGUUCUUGGGUUGAUUUUGUUUUGUUUUGUUUUAAUUCCACAGCCUUUGGCAUUCCAGUUCAGAGGACAAGUCUGAUAGUCUCCAUUCCUUUCAUUUUAUCAACUCUUAACAAAAGCUACUAGGCUCAGGCCAAAGGGGUAUUUUGACAUGAACAAUGCUUCUCAGGAAAAGAAGUGCCCAAAUUUUUAUCCUGUUAUUUGAGUGAAAGUUCUAAGUCCUUCCCUGAUGUUCCCUGGAAUUGUGAUUUAAUGACUAGUCACACCAGAACGGAACACAUGUUUCUACUUGCAAGAUUAUUAAGCACAUUACACAGUUCCAUUAUUGCCUUCCUGAGUCACCCUGCAUGUACUAGUGUCUGCGUAGAUUGCUUUUCAAAGGGUUUAAUAGAGAAAAGUGUUAGAAUACGUGUAAUUAAAUUCACUUAUUUUUACUUUAGCUUUUAAUUAUUUUUAAUGUAUUGACCACAGAGUAAGGAGAAAGUAUAGUAAAGAAAAAACAAUAUCAGCACUUAAUGUGGAAGGUUAUUGUUAUUGUUUUACUAAUAGAAUUUUGAGUUACAUAAGUGAACUGGAUAUACAUCAAUCAACAAUUUUCUCUAACAGGGAUUCUUACGUUUUGAAGUAUUUACCUUUAGAAAAGUAUCUGUUUCAAUAAGAAUGAUUCCCCAGGCUGAGGCUGUGGCUCAGUGGUAGAAUGCUUGCCUAGCAUGUGUGAGGCACUGGGUUCGAUUCUAAACACCACAUAUAAAUAAAUAAAGGUUCAUCAACAACUAAUAAAAUAUUUUAAAAAAAAAGAAUUAUUCCCAUAAAAAUUCUAUGUGUUUUAGAAUUUUAUAUUGAAAGCUCCUCUUAGGCAAUCCCAAUAAGCAUACUGGAAAUUAAUAUAAAAAUUUGACAUUCAACUUCUAAGAAUUUAAAACAUCUCUAAGAUGAUGUACAAUCAAUCAACAAAUACAAGAAAAAAUGUUCAUCAUCACCAGCAAUUAGAGAGAUGCAAAUCAAAACCACUGUAAGAUUUCAUCUCAUUCUAGUCAGAAUGGCAGCUAUUAUGCCAAUAACAAAAGUGUUGGCGAGAAUGUGGGGGGAAAAGUACACUCACACACUGCUGGUGGGACUGCAAAUUGGUGCAGCCAAUAUGGAAAGCAGUAUGAAGAUUUCUUGGAAAAUUGGGAAUGGAACCACCAUCUGACCCAGCUAUUCCUCUCCUCAGUCUAUGCCCAAAGGACUUAAAAACAGCAUACUACAGGGACACAGCCACAUCAAUGUUUAUAGCAGCACAAUUCACUAUAGCUAAACUGUGGAAGCAACCUAGAUGUCCUUCAGUAGAUGAAUGGAUUAAAAAAAAUGUGGCAUUUAUACACAAUGGAAUAUUAGUCAGUAAUAAAAGAGAAUAAAAUCAUGGCACUUGCAGGUAAAUGGAUGGAAUUAGAGAAGAUAAUGCUAAGUGAAGUUAGCCAAUACCAAAAAACUAAAUGCUAAAUGUUUUCUUUGAUAUAAGGAGGCUGAUUCAUAGUGGGAUAGGGAGCAGGAGCAUGGGAGGAAUAGACAACUCUAGAUAGGGCAGAGGGGUUGGGGGAAAGGGAGGGAGCAUGGGGUUAUUAAUGAUGGCAGAAUGUGAUGAUCAUUAUUAUCCAAAGUACAGGUAUGAAGACACAAAUUGGUGUGAAUAUACUGUGUAUACAAUCAGAAAUACGAAAAAAUGUGCUCUAUAUGUGUAAUAAGAAUGGUAAUGC
RNAcentral lists this long non-coding RNA (13951 nucleotides) under Marmota monax (woodchuck). Lineage: Eukaryota; Metazoa; Chordata; Mammalia; Rodentia; Sciuridae. The record is from RNAcentral.